This 253-nucleotide ribosomal RNA is filed under the name uncultured bacterium. RNAcentral describes it as "partial 16S ribosomal RNA". It matches the Rfam family "Bacterial small subunit ribosomal RNA", at positions 524 to 776 of the family's 1533-position model. The record is from RNAcentral.
UACGUAGGGAGCAAGCGUUGUCCGGAAUCAUUGGGCGUAAAGCGCGCGUAGGCGGCCCGGUAAGUCCGCUGUGAAAGUCCAGGGCUCAACCCUGGGAUGCCGGUGGAUACUGUCGGGCUCGAGUCCGGAAGAGGCGAGUGGAAUUCCUGGUGUAGCGGUGAAAUGCGCAGAUAUCAGGAGGAACACCAAUGGCGAAGGCAGCUCGCUGGGACGUGACUGACGCUGAGACGCGAAAGCGUGGGGAGCAAACAGG